AUUGAACGCUGGCGGCAGGCCUAACACAUGCAAGUCGAGCGGAGCGGCGGACGGGUGAGUAAUGUAUCGGAACGUGCCCAGUAGCGGGGGAUAACUACGCGAAAGCGUAGCUAAUACCGCAUACUAUUGGAGCGGCCGAUAUCGGAUUAGCUAGUUGGUGAGGUAACGGCUCACCAAGGCGACGAUCCGUAGCUGGUUUGAGAGGACGACCAGCCACACUGGGACUGAGACACGGCCCAGACUCCUACGGGAGGCAGCAGUGGGGAAUUUUGGACAAUGGGGGCAACCCUGAUCCAGCCAUCCCGCGUGUGCGAUGAAGGCCUUCGGGUUGUAAAGCACUUUUGGCAGGAAAGCGGUACCUGCAGAAUAAGCACCGGCUAACUACGUGCCAGCAGCCGCGGUAAUAC
Molecule: ribosomal RNA, 407 nt
Filed under: uncultured bacterium
Lineage: Bacteria
Description: partial 16S ribosomal RNA
Rfam family: Bacterial small subunit ribosomal RNA
Source: RNAcentral